RNAcentral lists this ribosomal RNA (253 nucleotides) under uncultured bacterium. RNAcentral describes it as "partial 16S ribosomal RNA". It matches the Rfam family "Bacterial small subunit ribosomal RNA", at positions 524 to 776 of the family's 1533-position model. The record is from RNAcentral.
UACGUAGGGUGCAAGCGUUGUCCGGAAUUAUUGGGCGUAAAGAGCUCGUAGGCGGUCUGUCACGUCGGCUGUGAAAACCCGAGGCUCAACCUCGGGCCUGCAGUCGAUACGGGCAAACUAGAGUACUGCAGGGGAGACUGGAAUUCCUGGUGUAGCGGUGAAAUGCGCAGAUAUCAGGAGGAACACCGAUGGCGAAGGCAGGUCUCUGGGCCAUAACUGACGCUGAGAAGCGAAAGCAUGGGGAGCGAACAGG